UUCUGGUUCAAUUCCUCCGGAGGUUGGUAACUGCACUUCUCUAAUUCGCCUUCGGCUUGUCAAUAACAGAAUCAGUGGGGAAAUACCGAAAGAAAUCGGGUUCCUCAAAAACCUCAGUUUCCUUGACUUGUCUGAAAACCAUCUUGAUGGGACGCUGCCAGCAGAAAUUGGCAAUUGCAAUGCGCUACAGAUGCUGAAUUUAAGCAACAAUACCCUUCGUGGCACUUUGCCGAGCUCUUUAUUUUCCCUGACAAGGCUUGAGGUAUUGGAUGUUUCUGUGAAUCAAUUUGUGGGUGAAAUUCCAAGG
RNAcentral lists this unclassified non-coding RNA (307 nucleotides) under Hevea brasiliensis (rubber tree). The record is from RNAcentral. Lineage: Eukaryota; Viridiplantae; Streptophyta; Magnoliopsida; Malpighiales; Euphorbiaceae.